Molecule: ribosomal RNA, 704 nt
Filed under: uncultured bacterium
Lineage: Bacteria
Description: bacterial SSU rRNA
Rfam family: Bacterial small subunit ribosomal RNA
Source: RNAcentral
CAUGCAGUCGAGCGGACGACUUAACUGAACCUUCGGGGAACGUUAAGGGCGUCGAGCGGCGGACGGGUGAGUAAUGCCUGGGAAUAUGCCUUGAUGUGGGGGAUAACCAUUGGAAACGAUGGCUAAUACCGCAUAAUGCCUUCGGGCCAAAGAGGGGGACCUUCGGGCCUCUCGCGUCAAGAUUAGCCCAGGUGGGAUUAGCUAGUUGGUGAGGCAAUGGCUCACCAAGGCGACGAUCCCUAGCUGGUCUGAGAGGAUGAUCAGCCACACUGGAACUGAGACACGGUCCAGACUCCUACGGGAGGCAGCAGUGGGGAAUAUUGCACAAUGGGCGCAAGCCUGAUGCAGCCAUGCCGCGUGUGUGAAGAAGGCCUUCGGGUUGUAAAGCACUUUCAGUCGUGAGGAAGGGGUGUACGUUAAUAGCGUAUGUCUUUGACGUUAGCGACAGAAGAAGCACCGGCUAACUCCGUGCCAGCAGCCGCGGUAAUACGGGAGGGUGCGAGCGUUAAUCGGAAUUACUGGGCGUAAAGCGCAUGCAGGUGGUUGGUUAAGUCAGAUGUGAAAGCCCCGGGGCUCAACCUCGGGAACUGCAUUUGAAACUGGCUAACUAGAGUACUGUAGAGGGGGGUAGAAUUCAGGUGUAGCGGUGAAAUGCGUAGAGAUCUGAAGGAAUACCAGUGGCGAAGGCCGGCCCCCUGGAACAG